Molecule: non-coding RNA, 21 nt
Filed under: Arabidopsis thaliana (thale cress)
Lineage: Eukaryota; Viridiplantae; Streptophyta; Magnoliopsida; Brassicales; Brassicaceae
Source: RNAcentral
AGCACCGCACGUCGCGUGGUG